Long non-coding RNA from Telopea speciosissima, 285 nucleotides. RefSeq lists it as uncharacterized. The transcript has 3 exons. NCBI's taxonomy places the organism in Eukaryota, Viridiplantae, Streptophyta, Magnoliopsida, Proteales, Proteaceae. The record is from RefSeq and is a predicted model, not a curated record.
UUUCUUCUCCACCGCAGCCAGUGGGCUAAGAAGCUACAAGCACCAUAAGAACAAAAUCACUACCGUUCCUGCCGCCGACGAGGAGAUAUGGGGAGUCAAAUACAUGGUGGAAGGCCCAACAGUUAUUGUAGCCAUGAAGUAGAGAGUCUUCUCUUCUCAAUUGCUCCUCACAACCUGCUUCUUUAUCCAUUGGAAAGUUACUUUCUCGCAAGGUUGUGAUUGCAAACUGCAGAGAGGGCUCUGGUUGCUGUUUAGGAUUGUAAAUAUGGAGGAUGAGAGUGGACA